Biomphalaria glabrata is the source of this 519-nucleotide long non-coding RNA. RefSeq lists it as uncharacterized. The record is from RefSeq and is a predicted model, not a curated record. NCBI's taxonomy places the organism in Eukaryota, Metazoa, Mollusca, Gastropoda, Planorbidae. The transcript is spliced from 2 exons.
UAUAGUUUUGUAUUUGAUAUUUAUUACUAAUGAAAUACCACCCUGCUCGAAUCGGGAUUCGUACCCGACACCACUUGAUUAGAAAUUUGACUGAGAGGCAAACGUCUAUACCACUAAGCCACACAUCCAUGUAAAAACUGACAGAACAACAACAUAAGAAGAGAUGGACUUUAAAUCCAAUUGAUAAUAAACUGUUGACUGAUGAGGACAAGAACAUUUGGGCAAAUAGUGUUCACAUUUAUUGAAGUUAACUCCAGAAUAAUGACACUACGUUAUACAGUCUAUGCAUUCUUAGUAUAUGUGCAUUAAAAGAAUCUCUCAGGCAUAACCAUGAGGCAGUGAAGCAAGAAGUAGCCCCAAAUAUUUCAUACUAAGAUAAAAAUAGAUCGUCAUUGGAUUAACAUGUAUGACUAGAUGUAUAACGCGUAGGACGUAAUCAUCUUCUUUUUUGAAGUAACGUCUAUAUUUUAUAAGAUAAGUAUAGGAAACAUAUGACAUUAAAAAAUCAUUAAAAAACAA